UGGGGAAUUUUGGACAAUGGGCGAAAGCCUGAUCCAGCAAUGCCGCGUGUGUGAAGAAGGCCUUCGGGUUGUAAAGCACUUUUGUCCGGAAAGAAAUCCUUGGCUCUAAUACAGUCGGGGGAUGACGGUACCGGAAGAAUAAGCACCGGCUAACUACGUGCCAGCAGCCGCGGUAAUACGUAGGGUGCAAGCGUUAAUCGGAAUUACUGGGCGUAAAGCGUGCGCAGGCGGUUUGCUAAGACCGAUGUGAAAUCCCCGGGCUCAACCUGGGAACUGCAUUGGUGACUGGCAGGCUAGAGUAUGGCAGAGGGGGGUAGAAUUCCACGUGUAGCAGUGAAAUGCGUAGAGAUGUGGAGGAAUACCGAUGGCGAAGGCAGCCCCCUGGGCCAAUACUGACGCUCAUGCACGAAAGCGUGGGGGAGCAAACAGGAUUAGGUACCCCUGGUAGUCCACGCCCUAAACGAUGUCAACUAGUUGUUGGGGAUUCAUUUCCUUAGUAACGUAGCUAACGCGUGAAGUUGACCGCCUGGGGAGUACGGUCGCAAGAUUAAAACUCAAAUGAAUUGACGGGGUCAUAGCUGUUUCCU
This 587-nucleotide ribosomal RNA is filed under the name uncultured bacterium. RNAcentral's name for it is "partial 16S ribosomal RNA". It matches the Rfam family "Bacterial small subunit ribosomal RNA", at positions 355 to 1375 of the family's 1533-position model. The record is from RNAcentral.